AACAAAAAAUGGAAGAAGCUAGCUCUACUAUAGAUUUGAAUGAAUCCUGUGGUUUCGUGGUCUUUUUUUUUUUUCCACUUGUU
RNAcentral lists this non-coding RNA (83 nucleotides) under Asterionellopsis glacialis. Lineage: Eukaryota; Bacillariophyta; Plagiogrammaphyceae; Rhaphoneidales; Asterionellopsidaceae. The record is from RNAcentral.